CCUACGGGAGGCUGCAGUGAGGAAUAUUGGUCAAUGGACGAGAGUCUGAACCAGCCAAGUAGCGUGAAGGAUGACUGCCCUAUGGGUUGUAAACUUCUUUUAUAUGGGAAUAAAAUGUUCCACGUGUGGGAUUUUGUAUGUACCAUAUGAAUAAGGAUCGGCUAACUCCGUGCCAGCAGCCGCGGUAAUACGGAGGAUCCGAGCGUUAUCCGGAUUUAUUGGGUUUAAAGGGAGCGUAGGUGGAUUGUUAAGUCAGUUGUGAAAGUUUGCGGCUCAACCGUAAAAUUGCAGUUGAAACUGGCAGUCUUGAGUACAGUAGAGGUGGGCGGAAUUCGUGGUGUAGCGGUGAAAUGCUUAGAUAUCACGCAGAACUCCGAUUGCGAAGGCAGUUCACUGGACUGCAACUGACACUGAGGCUCGAAAGUGUGGGUAUCAAACAGGAUUAGAUACCCUUGUAGUC
Molecule: ribosomal RNA, 460 nt
Filed under: uncultured bacterium
Lineage: Bacteria
Description: partial 16S ribosomal RNA
Rfam family: Bacterial small subunit ribosomal RNA
Source: RNAcentral